AAAACGACUGUUUGGAGGUGGCGGCCCUUGCGACUGUGAGUCGUGAACCUGGUCAGGCCUUAACUGGAGCAGCCAUAAGCGGUGUAGCUUUGUGUGAGGGUCGCCGCCUCCGAGCAGUCUUU
RNAcentral lists this signal recognition particle RNA (122 nucleotides) under Rubripirellula amarantea. RNAcentral describes it as "Planctomycetes bacterium Pla22 Bacteria_large_SRP". The stretch from base 17 to 111 matches the Rfam family "Bacterial small signal recognition particle RNA". From Rfam's summary of the family: The signal recognition particle (SRP) is a universally conserved ribonucleoprotein involved in the co-translational targeting of proteins to membranes. Archaeal SRP consists of a 7S RNA and homologues of the eukaryotic SRP19 and SRP54 proteins. In most bacteria, the SRP consists of a 4.5S RNA and the Ffh protein (a homologue of the eukaryotic SRP54 protein). Lineage: Bacteria; Pseudomonadati; Planctomycetota; Planctomycetia; Pirellulales; Pirellulaceae. The record is from RNAcentral.